CCAACAACGCUUUAAGCAUUGUCAAAGCCCAAAGCUAGUCCUAGCAUCGAUGCUUAUAAGCAUCGUCGGAGACUAAAGCUAGGCCUAGCAUCGACGACGCUUGCAUGGUGCAGAAACGACGACGCUUAUAAGCAUUAUUGGACACCACAAUUUCCCCACCUCCCAUCCCUAAAUCUCCAACUCGUCGGACACCAGAAAACCCAUUGUCCCUAAAUCCCCAACCCCAGACGUCAUCAUCCACAAAAUUCCUAUUUCUUCCCCGCGCGACCAAGCCUCUUCGUCAAGCUCCGCCUCUGCCCGUCCGUGGAGGUCUCCUUCUCCUCCUCCUUCUCUCCUUCUCUGGCGCUUCCCACUUCCUCCUUCUCCUCCUCCCCCUUGUUAUCCUAGAUACCCAAAUAUAAUUGAUAAAUCAAUAAUUCAAUAUUUCUAAUAUUCAUAAACAGUAAAUAAGAAGAAUAAACUAGCAUUAUUUACUUGACAAUAAAGUAAUAAAAUGAAGAAAUGAAAGAAGAUGGCAUGUGGAUCAAAGCAUGCUGACGCGUUGUCCUAAGAAAGUUUAUGCCCCCCCACGCAUGGGUUCGCUGGCACAGAUCUCCUAGAGAUACGACGACCUAGUACAGAACUACGUCUUCCCCACC
This 638-nucleotide long non-coding RNA is filed under the name Phoenix dactylifera (date palm). RNAcentral's name for it is "long non-coding RNA (PDAC_LNC000417)". Lineage: Eukaryota; Viridiplantae; Streptophyta; Magnoliopsida; Arecales; Arecaceae. The record is from RNAcentral.